CCUCUUCGAUCUGCUGCGGGCAGAUGAAGUGGAUGUGGCUGUCGAUGCCACCCGCGGUGACGAUGUUGCCUUCACAACUGAUCACUUCAGUGCCCGGGCCGAUGAUGAUGUCCACGCCGGGCUGCACGUCGGGGUUACCCGCCUUGCCAAUGGCAACGAUGCGGCCACCUUUGAGGCCAAUGUCGGCCUUGACAAUGCCCCAGUGGUCCAGGAUCAGCGCGUUGGUCAUCACGGUGUCCACCGCGCCCUCAGACCGCAUCUUUUGCGACUGCGCCAUGCCGUCGCGGAUG
RNAcentral lists this small RNA (290 nucleotides) under Rhodoferax fermentans. RNAcentral's name for it is "5' ureB small RNA". It matches the Rfam family "5' ureB small RNA". Lineage: Bacteria; Pseudomonadati; Pseudomonadota; Betaproteobacteria; Burkholderiales; Comamonadaceae. The record is from Rfam by way of RNAcentral.